CGGAUUGCGCCGGGGCGCCGGACAGCCUAUAUCUCCUGCGUCGGGCAACCGACUAUGGCGAUACACGGCUUGUGAAAUAAGCGUUGCGGACCCGGGGGCAGUACCCGGCGCCUCCACCAAUUUCCCGCCGGCCUGGCCGGCGGCUCUGCGGGGGCGAACCAGGCUCGACGCGCGUGGUAAAGGCAAGAUCCGUCGCCCGGCAUGAUUCCGCCGUUAUCGGGUCAUAAUCUAGCUGCGAACGACAACUUCGCACAAGAGGCGCUCGCGGCCUAACCCCUAGCGGGGUAAAAGCCUAGAGCAAAUCGCGGUUCGAGGGGCACCGGGCAACAGAAGCCCCUCACU
This 342-nucleotide transfer-messenger RNA is filed under the name Alphaproteobacteria bacterium. It matches the Rfam family "Alphaproteobacteria transfer-messenger RNA". Rfam says of the family: Bacterial tmRNA, also known as 10Sa RNA or SsrA, is named for its dual tRNA and mRNA-like properties. Lineage: Bacteria; Pseudomonadati; Pseudomonadota; Alphaproteobacteria. The record is from RNAcentral.